AUGAGAUUUACAUUUGUGAUGUCGGGAUGGCCUGGUUCAGCACAUGACAUGAGAGUUUUCAAAGACGCCGUAACUACUCAUCAAGACAAAUUUCCACAUCCACCACCAGGGAAGUAUUAUGUGGUUGAUGCGGGAUACCCAAACCGGCCAGGCUACCUUUCACCAUACAGAUGUACAAGGUACCAUGUGCAACAAUGGCAAAAUGGCCCGCCGCCACAAGGUAUGAAAGAAACCUUCAACCAUGCACAUGCCAAAGUUAGGAAUGUCGUUGAGCGAUCCUUUGGAGUGUUGAAGAUGAAAUUUAGGAUUUUAUUGAACAUGCCAAAAUUUCCAGAGGACAAGCAAAGUAGAAUUAUUGUUGCCUGUAUGGCUCUUCAUAAUUUCAUUCGAGAGAGCAGAAUUGCGGAUAGGGAAUUUGAUGCUUGUGAUGCAGAUGAAAAUUAUAACCCAAUGCCUAGUUCUUCUGCAUCCGCAUGGCCAGAAGAUGAACCUCUUGUUGAAGAUAUCAACAUGAAUGCCUUCCGUGAUGAGUUAGCUCAUGCUUUGUUUUAUGGAGUGUAA
This 561-nucleotide ribosomal RNA is filed under the name Triticum aestivum (bread wheat). RNAcentral describes it as "partial small subunit ribosomal RNA". The record is from RNAcentral. Lineage: Eukaryota; Viridiplantae; Streptophyta; Magnoliopsida; Poales; Poaceae.